GCGGUAACAGCUCAAAUUUGAAAGCUAGCUCUUUUAGGGUUCGCAUUGUAAUUUGUAGAAGAUGCUUCGGGUGUGGCCCCGGUCUAAGUUCCUUGGAACAGGACGUCAUAGAGGGUGAGAAUCCCGUAUGUGACUGGGUGCUUUCGCUCAUGUGAAGCUCUUUCGACGAGUCGAGUUGUUUGGGAAUGCAGCUCAAAAUGGGUGGUAAAUUUCAUCUAAAGCUAAAUAUUGGCCAGAGACCGAUAGCGCACAAGUAGAGUGAUCGAAAGAUGAAAAGCACUUUGGAAAGAGAGUUAAACAGUACGUGAAAUUGUUGAAAGGGAAGCGCUUGCAACCAGACUUGCGCGCUGAUGAUCAUCCGGGCUUCUGCCCGGUGCACUCGUCUGCGCUCAGGCCAGCAUCGGUUUCGGUGGUGGGAUAAAGGCCUUGGGAAUGUAGCUCCUCUCGGGGAGUGUUAUAGCCCUCGGUGCAAUGCCGCCUACCGGGACCGAGGACCGCGCUUCGGCUAGGAUGCUGGCGUAAUGGUUGUAAGCGACCCGUCUUGA
Molecule: ribosomal RNA, 545 nt
Filed under: Coniochaeta ligniaria
Lineage: Eukaryota; Fungi; Ascomycota; Sordariomycetes; Coniochaetales; Coniochaetaceae
Description: LSU rRNA
Rfam family: Eukaryotic large subunit ribosomal RNA
Source: RNAcentral